CCGGGGAGGGGGCCGGGAGGACCCGGUGGCGGGGAGGUGAGGGCGGACGUGCAGUUCCGGCGCACGGGGCGGGCGGGGCGGGCGGGGACAGUGCCCUUUGGUUGCGCUCGCUGCGCUGGACUCACUUCUCCCGUGGCCGCGCCCGGGUCCUUGGGCUGCACAGGCUCCGAGCUCCGGGUCUUGCGGGGCUGCGGGCUCCGACGCUCACCCUCCCUCCCCGGCGCUGAGUCCAGUGGCGGCGCCCACUGUGCGGCCCCGGGCCCCGCGCCUUUCCACCCCGGCUCAUUGUGACUGGUAUUCCUGGCAACGAGCCUAGUGGACCCCACCCGCACUGGGGUCUCAGCCUCUAGAGCCACCCUCUUUGUCCCCACCUCAGCUGGGAAGCUCCUUCCGGAGCUGUGACCUUGGGACUACAGGGAUGCGUUCCCGGAGUCUGGAUGCUGAGAGCCCGGCGCCCCCCGCUGGCCGGCUGCGGAAGGAAACCCAGGAAGGCCCAGGGGUGAUGGACACCCACGUGUCAGGGAUGUGAAUACAGAGCUCUGCAUGGCAGCCCUAGCAAACGCACUGAGCAUUAUUAGGGGUUCCUACCACCCUCCCGCCUUACUACUGAAGCGGCCAGAGACAGCACUAAUUCCGCGUCCAACAAGCAGAUGAAGUUACCUGCCCUUGAAAAAUGCCAACCACAGCUGUUCCAUCGGGUUGCUUCAGAGCUUCUGCAAACGUAUUGUACUUUGGAUUCCAGUGAACCAAAUGCAGCUGGAAACACAGAAUGCAUGUUGUAAGGCUUGAUGCAGAAGUGGUGGAUGCAGCUUCAUGGCUUUUACAUUCCUC
Artibeus jamaicensis (Jamaican fruit-eating bat) is the source of this 831-nucleotide long non-coding RNA. RefSeq lists it as uncharacterized. The record is from RefSeq and is a predicted model, not a curated record. The transcript is spliced from 3 exons. NCBI's taxonomy places the organism in Eukaryota, Metazoa, Chordata, Mammalia, Chiroptera, Phyllostomidae.